RNAcentral lists this microRNA precursor (193 nucleotides) under Oryza nivara. Its description in RNAcentral is "MIR812 microRNA precursor family". It matches the Rfam family "MIR812 microRNA precursor family". The record is from Rfam by way of RNAcentral. Lineage: Eukaryota; Viridiplantae; Streptophyta; Magnoliopsida; Poales; Poaceae.
AAAAAGGCAAACCCUGGGUUUCCGUGUCCAACUUUGACUGUCCGUCUUAUAUGAAUUUUUUUUAUAAUUCGUAUUUUCAUUGUUGUUAGAUGAUAAAACAUGAUUAAUAUUUUAUACGUGACUUGUCUUUUAAUUUUUUUCAAAUAAGACGGACAGUCAAAUGUUGGGCACAGAAACCAGGGUUUAUCUUUUU